Molecule: long non-coding RNA, 203 nt
Filed under: Capsicum annuum
Lineage: Eukaryota; Viridiplantae; Streptophyta; Magnoliopsida; Solanales; Solanaceae
Description: long non-coding RNA (CANN_LNC018728)
Source: RNAcentral
GGCUCCUCAUCCAGUUGAUUAUCCUCUCCAUCACCAUUCUCCAAAGCUGCAUAUUUGUUUGAAGUUUGAAUGGGCGCACCUGGUCCCUUACCAACUUUCAGUUCCUUUCCUGUAACUACACCAUUUUCACUUUUUGAAUUUUGAUUUUUGCUAUUAUCAAUCAAAGUAGGUUAAUUUUGACCUUUACUCCAUUGCCAGGUAUU